This 469-nucleotide ribosomal RNA is filed under the name uncultured bacterium. Its description in RNAcentral is "partial 16S ribosomal RNA". It matches the Rfam family "Bacterial small subunit ribosomal RNA", at positions 28 to 507 of the family's 1533-position model. The record is from RNAcentral.
GACGAACGCUGGCGGCGUGCUUAACACAUGCAAGUCGAACGGAAAGGCCCUGCUUGCAGGGUGCUCGAGUGGCGAACGGGUGAGUAACACGUGGGUGAUCUGCCCCUUACUUUGGGAUAAGCCUGGGAAACUGGGUCUAAUACUGGAUAGGACCAUGCUGUAGGUGGUGUGGUGGAAAGAUUAGUUUCGGUAAGGGAUGAGCUCGCGGCCUAUCAGCUUGUUGGUGGGGUAAUGGCCUACCAAGGCGUCGACGGGUAGCCGGCCUGAGAGGGUGGACGGCCACAUUGGGACUGAGAUACGGCCCAGACGCCUACGAGAGGCAGCAGUGGGGAAUAUUGCACAAUGGGCGCAAGCCUGAUGCAGCGACGCCGCGUGGGGGAUGACGGCCUUCGGGUUGGAAACUCCUUUCAGCCAUGACGAAGCCCUUGUGGUGACGGUAGUGGUAGAAGAAGCACCGGCUAACUACGUG